Wyeomyia smithii (pitcher-plant mosquito) is the source of this 606-nucleotide long non-coding RNA. RefSeq lists it as uncharacterized. The transcript is spliced from 2 exons. The record is from RefSeq and is a predicted model, not a curated record. NCBI's taxonomy places the organism in Eukaryota, Metazoa, Arthropoda, Insecta, Diptera, Culicidae.
CUUAAGUGGACCUUCAUAGUGAAUUAUGUUCGUUAUCCUCUGUACUAGAAAGGUUAUUUGGGAUACCUUUGCGGUGUUUCUGGUUUUUUUACUAGCUCUUUGUACAGAUCGUCAGUAAUGCUAAGCUACUUUGAACCCUCACUUUGAUUUUUCGAUCAGAAGAUUUGAAAACGAACUACACCGAUGGAAUCUGAAAAACGAGCACAAUAGUUACCUGGAGCUAGAAGCUGUAAUUCUAGCACAAGCUGUUGUAGUCUCAACUUCAUUGGUGUUGUCCCUGACAGGUUCUUGUUUCACAUCAGUUAAAUCUUCCCUCAGGGCGUUCGCCGCAGUCGGUGCGGUGCUGCUAGCGAACGUAGUUGCUUCUUCCUCAGGCAGAAUGUCAGUUAUCAUAAGCUCUUCCACCUUCACUGUUGCAGCGAAGUUCUCCACCUUUAUGAAGCUUAAUUCCUCCAUUUUGCAUACACAACUUACGUGCUGGAAACAAACUAUCGCUUUAUUGUGAUUAUGCUUACUUCUUCACUCGAUUCAGCUGCACAAUGCAGCAGUAUAAAACGGUAUAAAAUUCAAUAAUAUUCCUCCGAUUCAAGCUAUAGUAAACAAAAA